This 428-nucleotide ribosomal RNA is filed under the name uncultured prokaryote. RNAcentral describes it as "bacterial SSU rRNA". It matches the Rfam family "Bacterial small subunit ribosomal RNA", at positions 355 to 774 of the family's 1533-position model. The record is from RNAcentral.
UUAAGAAUAUUCGGCAAUGGGGGAAACCCUGACCGAGCAAUGCCGCGUGUGAGAUGAAGGUCCUUUGGAUCGUAAAUCACUUUUAUUUGGGAAGAAUUGUAAGUAUAGGAAAUGAUACUUACUUGACGGUACCAUUUGAAUAAGCUUCGGCUAACUACGUGCCAGCAGCCGCGGUAAUACGUAGGAGGCAAACGUUAUCCGGAUUUACUGGGCGUAAAGCGCGUGUAGGUGGUACUGUAAGUAGGGCGUGAAAGCUCCUGGCUCAACUGGGAGAGGCCGUUCUAAACUACAGAACUAGAGGAUGGUAGAGGGAGGUGGAAUUCCAGGUGUAGCGGUGGAAUGCGCAGAUAUCUGGAGGAACACCGGUGGCGAAGGCGGCCUCCUGGACCAUUCCUGACACUCAGACGCGGAAGCUAGGGUAGCAAACG